AGAGUUUGAUCCUGGCUCAGAACGAACGCUGGCGGCAGGCCUAACACAUGCAAGUCGAGCGCACCUUCGGGUGAGCGGCGGACGGGUUAGUAACGCGUGGGAACAUACCCUUUUCUACGGAAUAGCCUCGGGAAACUGAGAGUAAUACCGUAUACGCCCUUCGGGGGAAAGAUUUAUCGGUGAAGGAUUGGCCCGCGUUUGAUUAGAUAGUUGGUGGGGUAAUGGCCUACCAAGUCUACGAUCAAUAGCUGGUUUGAGAGGAUGAUCAGCAACACUGGGACUGAGACACGGCCCAGACCCCUACGGGAGGCAGCAGUGGGGAAUCUUAGACAAUGGGCGCAAGCCUGAUCUAGCCAUGCCGCGUGAGUGACGAAGGCCUUAGGGUCGUAAAGCUCUUUCGCCAGGGAUGAUAAUGACAGUACCUGGUAAAGAAACCCCGGCUAACUCCGUGCCAGCAGCCGCGGUAAUACGGAGGGGGUUAGCGUUGUUCGGAAUUACUGGGCGUAAAGCGCACGUAGGCGGAUUGGAAAGUAUGGGGUGAAAUCCCAGGGCUCAACCCUGGAACUGCCCUGUAAACUAUCAGUCUAGAGUUCGAGAGAGGUGAGUGGAAUUCCAAGUGUAGAGGUGAAAUUCGUGAUAUUUGGAGGAACACCAGUGGCGAAGGCGGCUCACUGGCUCGAUACUGACGCUGAGGUGCGAAAGUGUGGGGAGCAAACAGGAUUAGAUACCCUGGUAGUCCACACCGUAAACGAUGAAUGCCAGACGUCGGGGGCUUGCCCUUCGGUGUCACACCUAACGGAUUAAGCAUUCCGCCUGGGGAGUACGGUCGCAAGAUUAAAACUCAAAGGAAUUGCCGGGGGCCCGCACAAGCGGUGGAGCAUGUGGUUUAAUUCGAAGCAACGCGCAGAACCUUACCAACCCUUGACAUCCUAGGACCGCCAGAGAGAUCUGGUUUCCACUUCGGUGGCCUAGUGACUGGUGCUGCAUGGCUGUCGUCAGCUCGUGUCGUGAGAUGUUCGGUUAAGUCCGGCAACGAGCGCAACCCACAUCCUUAGUUGCCAGCAGUUCGGCUGGGCACUCUAGGGAAACUGCCCGUGAUAAGCGGGAGGAAGGUGUGGAUGACGUCAAGUCUUCAUGGCCCUUACGGGUUGGGCUACACACGUGCUACAAUGGCAUCUACAGUGAGUUAAUCUCCAAAAGAUGUCUCAGUUCGGAUUGGGGUCUGCAACUCGACCCCAUGAAGUCGGAAUCGCUAGUAAUCGCGUAACAGCAUGACGCGGUGAAUACGUUCCCGGGCCUUGUACACACCGCCCGUCACACCAUGGGAGUUGGUUCUACCCGACGACGCUGCGCUAACCUUCGGGGGGCAGGCGGCCACGGUAGGAUCAGCGACUGGGGUGAAGUCGUAACAAGGUA
Molecule: ribosomal RNA, 1416 nt
Filed under: metagenome
Description: bacterial SSU rRNA
Rfam family: Bacterial small subunit ribosomal RNA
Source: RNAcentral